Cervus hanglu yarkandensis (Yarkand deer) is the source of this 131-nucleotide small nucleolar RNA. Its record names the gene SNORA70. It matches the Rfam family "Small nucleolar RNA SNORA70". From Rfam's summary of the family: snoRNA U70 seems to be exclusive to mammals and is a member of the H/ACA class of snoRNA which contain H (ANANNA) and ACA box motifs. The record is from Ensembl. NCBI's taxonomy places the organism in Eukaryota, Metazoa, Chordata, Mammalia, Artiodactyla, Cervidae.
UUGCAGCCAGUUAAGCCAACCAUGUUCUUUUCCCCGUGGGGGCUCAGUGUGCAGUGGUUGUAAACAGUACACUAACUCCUCUGUAGUAUAUUCAACUUGUGGCCUAUAUGGGUCACCCUAAGGAGACAGCC